UACUUCCAUAACGUCAGAAAGCUCUCUCCAUUCUCUAAUUGCAAGUUCUGCGUUUUCAAGCAAGGAGAGGAAGAAGAAGAAGGAGCCGUGAAGACAUAGCCUCCAUCAUCAACCUUGAAGACUUUCUUCCAAGAUUCAAGAGUCCAACGUUCAAGCUCUCCAUCUCCAUCUCCACUCACGGUGGUAUUUUGUUUUUUGAGAGUGAAAUUGGGUUUCUAGAAUCAACAUUAUUAUUUUGGUUACUUGGCAAAAAUACUAGCACUUGAGGGUUCAAAGGAUGUGCCUGUUGGCCAACCAAUUGCAGUAACAGUAAGUGCAAAAGGCUCGUAGAACUGUAUAAUCUGCCUUUUACCAUCCUUGAGGAAGUUUUUGUGUCUAAAGCCCUUAUAACAUGAAGAGCUUCUUCAAAUCUGUCAAUUAAUUAAGUAGCGAACUAGUUUAGUUAUUUCAGCCAAUAACUGAUGAAAUAUAUUACUGAUCUCAUGAUGUCAAAAACAUUUUUGGUGUCUUAAGACAUAUAACAACACUAAUUUACAAGAAUGCUAGAACAAUGAGAUGAUCAUUACUGAUUUAUUGUUUGGGGUAAAAUUAAACAAUGAGAUGAUCAAGAGAUUACGUUGGAGAUUUUCUAGGGAGAGUUUUAAGGAAAGAUGAAGUGUGUGCAACAAGAAAAUGUUCAAAACAAGUCUAGAUUCGUUCCCUACUUUUUCUAAAGAUAUUUUGGCCGAAAUUGGUGAAGGAAAUCAGAAAAAAUCUUAUAUAUUUCGGCAAUAAUAUAUUUUAAGGGAUAUGGACUUUAUUUUGGAGCCUUUUGAUUGGUUGGGUGACACAACAAAGCUGACAUGGCGCUACGUGAUUGGUCGAAGCUGUGUGGAAUUAUUAAAUAAAUCUUUGGAAAAAUAAAAGAAGAUUCAUGAAGCUUGGAGAUCAAGUUCACGUCCCCUAUAUAAACUCCCCCCUAGGCUUGACGUUCUACAUUCUCGCAUUCAGAAAAUACUUCCAUAACGUCAGAAAGCUCUCUCCAUUCUCUAAUUGCAAGUUCUGCGUUUUCAAGCAAGGAGAGGAAGAAGAAGAAGGAGCCGUGAAGACAUAGCCUUCAUCAUCAACCUUGAAGGCUUUCUUCCAAGAUUCAAGAGUCCAACGUUCAAGCUCUCCAUCUCCAUCUCCACUCACGGUGUAAUUCGAUCUUUUUCCUUGUAACCUUUUGGUUUUCCUUGUUUGAAUUCGUAGGAACUUGUUUCUAGUUAACAAUAACAUUUAGGGCAAUGUUUAAGCCCAAUUCUAUGUUGAAAUAAAGAUUUCGAAUUCCAUGAUUGUGAUUCUAAGUUGCUUAUGUGAGUUUGUUCGAUUGAAUUUUCUUUACAGAAAACUUUUAUAUGUUUAUGUUCUUUAGUGGCCAACUUAGGAUAUAUGCAUGUAAUUGGU
Rosa chinensis is the source of this 1425-nucleotide long non-coding RNA. RefSeq lists it as uncharacterized. NCBI's taxonomy places the organism in Eukaryota, Viridiplantae, Streptophyta, Magnoliopsida, Rosales, Rosaceae. The transcript has 3 exons. The record is from RefSeq and is a predicted model, not a curated record.